RNAcentral lists this ribosomal RNA (468 nucleotides) under uncultured bacterium. RNAcentral's name for it is "partial 16S ribosomal RNA". It matches the Rfam family "Bacterial small subunit ribosomal RNA", at positions 28 to 507 of the family's 1533-position model. The record is from RNAcentral.
GACGAACGCUGGCGGCGUGCUUAACACAUGCAAGUCGAACAGAAAGGCCCUGCUUUUGUGGGGUGCUCGAGUGGCGAACGGGUGAGUAACACGUGAGUAACCUGCCCUUGACUUUGGGAUAACUUCAGGAAACUGGGGCUAAUACCGGAUAGGAGCUCCUGCUGCAUGGUGGGGGUUGGAAAGUUUCGGCGGUUGGGGAUGGACUCGCGGCUUAUCAGCUUGUUGGUGGGGUAGUGGCUUACCAAGGCUUUGACGGGUAGCCGGCCUGAGAGGGUGACCGGCCACAUUGGGACUGAGGUACGCCCCAGACUCCUACGGGAGGCAGCAGUGGGGAAUAUUGCACAAUGGGCGGAAGCCUGAUGCAGCAACGCCGCGUGCGGGAUGACGGCCUUCGGGUUGUAAACCGCUUUCGCCUGUGACGAAGCGUGAGUGACGGUAAUGGGUAAAGAAGCACCGGCUAACUACGUG